AGAGUUUGAUCAUGGCUCAGAACGAACGCUGGCGGCAGGCUUAACACAUGCAAGUUGAGCGGGAUUGUUGGUAGCUUGCUAUCAAGCAUGAGAGCAGCGCACUGGUGAGUAACACGUGGGAACAUACCUUUUGGUGGGGGACAACAGUUGGAAACGACUGCUAAUACCGCAUAAGCCCUAAGGGGGAAAGAUUAAUUGCCGAAAGAUUGGCCCGCGGAAGAUUAGGUAGUAGGUGGGGUAACGGCCUACCUAGCCGACGAUCUAUAGCUGGUCUGAGAGGACGAUCAGCCACAUUGGAACUGAGACACGGUCCAGACUCCUACGGGAGGCAGCAGUGAGGAAUAUUGGGCAAUGGAGGCAACUCCGAACCCCCAGCCAUGCCGCGUGAGUGAAGAAGGUUUUCGGAUUGUAAAGCUCUUUCAGACGGGAAGAUGAUGACGGUACCGUCAGAAGAAGCACCGGCUAACUUCGUGCCAGCCGCGGC
RNAcentral lists this ribosomal RNA (484 nucleotides) under uncultured bacterium. RNAcentral's name for it is "bacterial SSU rRNA". It matches the Rfam family "Bacterial small subunit ribosomal RNA", at positions 8 to 518 of the family's 1533-position model. The record is from RNAcentral.